RNAcentral lists this non-coding RNA (70 nucleotides) under Schistosoma curassoni. Lineage: Eukaryota; Metazoa; Platyhelminthes; Trematoda; Strigeidida; Schistosomatidae. The record is from RNAcentral.
AUAGUAACUCCGCCUGUAGCUCUUAUAGGGUUGCUGCCGGUCCCAAGCCCGGGUAAAGGAGGAGGGUUGG